Molecule: non-coding RNA, 271 nt
Organism: Pelobates cultripes (western spadefoot toad)
Lineage: Eukaryota; Metazoa; Chordata; Amphibia; Anura; Pelobatidae
Source: the annotation of a GenBank genome assembly
CUGUGCCGCAUCUCCAGCAUUCUCUUGGGAUUGAUUUGUGUACGUGCCGUAGGACGUCCAGGGUCCUGUACCAAUGUGUCAGUAUCUUAUAAUUGCAUUUUUGAAAUUUAGUGCUUAUUGAUCCAUUGUGCGUCAACUGGAAGAUAUUUCCCCAUUCGAGGUCAGUUAGUUCAACCUCUGUCUCUCUUUCCCAUCGCUCUGUGAAGCCUAGAGGGCUCUUAUCCCCAUUGUUCUGUAGUGUGGUGUAUAGGGUCGAUACGCCAUGUGCGAG